GUCACUUUGGCCGAGUGGUUAAGGCGGCGGCCUGCUAAGCCGUUUCACUUUGUGAGCGCAGGUUCGAAUCCUGCAGGUGACG
Molecule: transfer RNA, 82 nt
Filed under: Mycoemilia scoparia
Lineage: Eukaryota; Fungi; Kickxellomycota; Kickxellomycetes; Kickxellales; Kickxellaceae
Rfam family: tRNA
About the family: Transfer RNA (tRNA) molecules are approximately 80 nucleotides in length. Their secondary structure includes four short double-helical elements and three loops (D, anti-codon, and T loops). Further hydrogen bonds mediate the characteristic L-shaped molecular structure. tRNAs have two regions of fundamental functional importance: the anti-codon, which is responsible for specific mRNA codon recognition, and the 3' end, to which the tRNAs corresponding amino acid is attached (by aminoacyl-tRNA synthetases). tRNAs cope with the degeneracy of the genetic code in two manners: having more than one tRNA (with a specific anti-codon) for a particular amino acid; and 'wobble' base-pairing, i.e. permitting non-standard base-pairing at the 3rd anti-codon position.
Source: Rfam by way of RNAcentral